CCUACGGGAGGCAGCAGUGAGGAAUAUUGGUCAAUGGUCGAGAGGCUGAACCAGCCAAGUCGCGUGAGGGAAGACGGCCCUACGGGUUGUAAACCUCUUUUGUCGGGGAGCAAAGCGAGUCACGUGUGACUCAUUGAGAGUACCCGAAGAAAAAGCAUCGGCUAACUCCGUGCCAGCAGCCGCGGUAAUACGGAGGAUGCGAGCGUUGUCCGGAAUCAUUGGGCGUAAAGAGUUCGUAGGUGGCAUAUUAAGUCUGGUGUUAAAUGCAGAAGCUCAACUUCUGUUCGGCACUGGAUACUGGUAAGCUUGAAUGCGGUAGAGGUAAAGGGAAUUCCUGGUGUAGCGGUGAAAUGCGUAGAUAUCAGGAGGAACAUCGGUGGCGUAAGCGCUUUACUGGGCCGUAAUUGACACUGAGGAACGAAAGCCGGGGUAGCAAAUGGGAUUAGAUACCCCAGUAGUC
RNAcentral lists this ribosomal RNA (460 nucleotides) under uncultured bacterium. RNAcentral's name for it is "partial 16S ribosomal RNA". It matches the Rfam family "Bacterial small subunit ribosomal RNA", at positions 338 to 795 of the family's 1533-position model. The record is from RNAcentral.